RNAcentral lists this ribosomal RNA (301 nucleotides) under uncultured bacterium. RNAcentral's name for it is "partial 16S ribosomal RNA". It matches the Rfam family "Bacterial small subunit ribosomal RNA", at positions 509 to 809 of the family's 1533-position model. The record is from RNAcentral.
CAGCCGCCGCGGUAAUACGAAGGGUGCAAGCGUUACUCGGAAUUACUGGGCGUAAAGCGUGCGUAGGUGGUGGUUUAAGUCCGUUGUGAAAGCCCUGGGCUCAACCUGGGAAUUGCAGUGGAUACUGGGUCACUAGAGUGUGGUAGAGGAUAGUGGAAUUUCCGGUGUAGCAGUGAAAUGCGUAGAGAUCGGAAGGAACAUCUGUGGCGAAGGCGACUAUCUGGCCAACACUGACACUGAGGCACGAAAGCGUGGGGAGCAAACAGGAUUAGAUACCGUGUAGUCCCUGUCUCUUAUACAA